UACGGGGGGGGCAAGCGUUGUUCGGAAUUACUGGGCGUAAAGGGCUCGUAGGCGGCCAACUAAGUCAGACGUGAAAUCCCUCGGCUUAACCGGGGAACUGCGUCUGAUACUGGAUGGCUCGAGUUUGGGAGAGGGAUGCGGAAUUCCAGGUGUAGCGGUGAAAUGCGUAGAUAUCUGGAGGAACACCGGUGGCGAAGGCGGCUCUCUAGUACGGUACUGACGCUGAGACGCGAAAGCGUGGGGAGCGAACAGG
Molecule: ribosomal RNA, 253 nt
Filed under: uncultured bacterium
Lineage: Bacteria
Description: partial 16S ribosomal RNA
Rfam family: Bacterial small subunit ribosomal RNA
Source: RNAcentral